RNAcentral lists this ribosomal RNA (253 nucleotides) under uncultured bacterium. RNAcentral describes it as "partial 16S ribosomal RNA". It matches the Rfam family "Bacterial small subunit ribosomal RNA", at positions 524 to 776 of the family's 1533-position model. The record is from RNAcentral.
UACGUAGGGUGCAAGCGUUACUCGGAAUUACUGGGCGUAAAGCGUGCGCAGGCGGUUUUGUAAGUCUGACGUGAAAUCCCCGGGCUUAACCUGGGAAUUGCGUUGGAGACUGCAAGGCUGGAGUCUGGCAGAGGGGGGUAGAAUUCCACGUGUAGCAGUGAAAUGCGUAGAGAUGUGGAGGAACACCGAUGGCGAAGGCAGCCCCCUGGGUCAAAACUGACGCUCAUGCACGAAAGCGUGGGGAGCAAACAGG